RNAcentral lists this ribosomal RNA (497 nucleotides) under uncultured bacterium. RNAcentral's name for it is "partial 16S ribosomal RNA". It matches the Rfam family "Bacterial small subunit ribosomal RNA", at positions 28 to 507 of the family's 1533-position model. The record is from RNAcentral.
GAUGAACGCUGGCGGCGUGCCUAAUACAUGCAAGUCGAGCGAACGGACGAGAAGCUUGCUUUUCUGAUGUUAGCGGCGGACGGGUGAGUAACACGUGGAUAACCUACCUAUAAGACUGGGAUAACUUCGGGAAACCGGAGCUAAUACCGGAUAAUAUUUUGAACCGCAUGGUUCAAAAGUGAAAGACGGUCUUGCUGUCACUUAUAGAUGGAUCCGCGCUGCAUUAGCUAGUUGGUAAGGUAACGGCUUACCAAGGCAACUAUGCAUAGCCGACCUGAGAGGGUGAUCGGCCACACUGGAACUGAGACACGGUCCAGACUCCUACGGGAGGCAGCAGUAGGGAAUCUUCCGCAAUGGGCGAAAGCCUGACGGAGCAACGCCGCGUGAGUGAUGAAGGUCUUCGGAUCGUAAAACUCUGUUAUUAGGGAAGAACAUAUGUGUAAGUAACUGUGCACAUCUUGACGGUACCUAAUCAGAAAGCCACGGCUAACUACGUG